This 409-nucleotide ribosomal RNA is filed under the name uncultured Methylomirabilota bacterium. RNAcentral's name for it is "bacterial SSU rRNA". It matches the Rfam family "Bacterial small subunit ribosomal RNA", at positions 1026 to 1434 of the family's 1533-position model. Lineage: Bacteria; Methylomirabilota (SeqCode). The record is from RNAcentral.
GCGUGGAGACAGGUGGUGCAUGGCUGUCGUCAGCUCGUGUCGUGAGAUGUUGGGUUAAGUCCCGCAACGAGCGCAACCCUCACCUCUUGUUGCCACCAGGUCAUGCUGGGCACUCUAGAGGAACUGCCCCGGUCAACGGGGAGGAAGGCGGGGAUGACGUCAAGUCAUCAUGCCCCUUACGUCCUGGGCUACACACGUGCUACAAUGGCCGGUACAAAGGGAUGCCACACCGCGAGGUAGAGCUAAACCCAAAAAGCCGGUCUAAGUUCAGAUUGGAGUCUGCAACUCGACUCCAUGAAGGAGGAAUCGCUAGUAAUCGCGCAUCAGCACGGCGCGGUGAAUACGUUCCCGGGCCUUGUACACACCGCCCGUCACACCACGAAAGCCAGCUGUACUCGAAGUCGCUGAG